UCCGGCUGCCUCUGCUCUUUCUCGGCUGCAAACCUCAGUGACUCGGUGUCUGGCUGCUACGCAAACUGAGCCAGGUUUAGUAACAGUUUUUACGGAAUUUCCUAUCGUAGUCAUAGCGGAGGACUGACUUGUCCGCUGGGUUGAGAGCUGCGCCCCGUUCCUCUGACUCCAGCCGAGCUGCUCCGGGCUGCACUGCCCCACGGACUGGCUUCAAGGCUGAUCGCCUCCCUCACCCACGCAUCACCUGCCCCCGCCUACUGGCCAGGACGGUAGUCACUCCCCCAACGGCUUGUCCUUCACGCUUCUGGUGGCUCUUGCACUAAUUGCGGAGCACCAGCCACGGAGCAAGACACCAGCAUUGUCCGGGGAGCGAUAACAGGCUGUGUUUCCAUUAUCUCUGCCCACUGGCCCUGACAGAUACCGUGGUGGUUCCUGCCAGGAAAUCCCCUCUGCCUCAUGGAAAACCCAGAGGAGGAAGUGGAGUCGCGAGGACUGUUCAGGCCCCACCCCAAGAUGUUGGAGUGAAACCAGCCCAUCUUCUCGGGCUCGGAAGCCCACGGGCUCUGCACACGCUUGCAGGGACCCGGGAGCCUGCGACAAGACACACACACCACCGAGGCCCCGUGCGGUUGCCUCUGCACCGUGUUUUACCAGAUCUGAGCUGGUUUGGAGUCCAACUACCACUUGAUAAAGCCCGCAGAGGAAGAGCUGUUGCUACCUCCGUUUUGCAAACGAGCAAAUGAGGGCCAAGAGCUCUGCCAGAGAUCUAACAAGGUCAGCUUCGCUCCUGCACCCACAGUGGGCAUGAAUGUGAUCAAAGAUGGGCGGAGCUGCUCAGACGUCCCUGAGCAUCAGGAGAAACUCGCUGGCUCUGCUGGGCGAUGCCCUGGAGAGCCAGGGAGCUCCUUCCUCGACAUGCAUUUGUGAGCAAGUGCUGGACACUUUUUACCCACUUAUACUUGUCUCUUGUGGCUGCUGGAAUGAGUGACCGCAAACCUGGUGGCUCUGUCCUCACAGAUCUGGAGGCCAGGUGUCUGUGGGCAGGCGGGGCUGGUUCCCAACGGGAGGCUCCGGGGAGAGUCUCCUCCUCGCCUCUUGGGGUGCUGGUGGCUGUCUGCAUCCUCGGCACACCUGGCUUGUAGCAGCAACCCUUCCAUCCCUGGCCUUCCCCACUCUGUCCAGGAUCUGUUUCCCAGAGAAAACUUCACACAUAAAUUUGGGGGGACACAAAAUGCAGCCCGUAACGCUCAGUAUUUCCAAUAAAACGAAGAUCUUUAGACCCACCUUCAUAAACGAUUCCCAAACUACAGAACCGUUGAACUUCAGAAACGGGAGGAACAUCAACGUCCAUCCAGCCCAGGACCCGCGGGAUGGGGGCGGCUCUUCAGCUGUGCAGCAGCCGCUGUUCGGGUCUUCCUGCUCCGGGCUGAACGCCCCCCCUGCAGUGUCUUCCUGGUCACUCUUCUCUGGGCAGGUUCCAGUCCGUCUCUACCCUUCACCAAGAAGUGAGGCGCCCGGAAAUGAAAGCAAUGGCCGUGUCCAUGCUGUUCAUCCAUCCUAUGAAAUCAGCCCCGCCGCUGGGGUAACAGCAAUGCACAGGACGCAUGGAGUCCAGCGGUCCUGACACUCAUGUUCUGGCGGGGGCAGGGCGGGGGGAGGAAUGGUGGAUGCAGAGGAACAAGCAAGGGACAGAGCAGAGCCAUGCUCCCUGGAGUGGAAGCACGACCAGCAAUAGUGAGGCAGACACACUGGGCUGAGAUCCAAUGACAAGGAUAGCAGCUCAGGCAAGGUCCCUAAGGUAGCAGAGCCCCCCUCCUGCGCACCCCCUUCCCAAAGGCCCCACCGGCUCCUUUCUCUCUCCAGACCUCAGGUGCCUCUGAAGCAGGGCCAGCCCAGGGGCAGCUCAGCCAGUGCAGGGCCACCCAAGGUCAUCGCCCUGGGAAGGAGGCUCGUCCUUAAAGACAGAGAUUCCAGAAUUUCAGUGGCUUUGAGGAGAGAGGAUUAUGUAGCAGUUUAGGCAGCCCACACUUCUCUGGACAAGCACGGGGUCCGGGUGUUUGGUGCCCUCUCCAAAGGUAUGAGGCUGCUUCUAACCAGGACGAACCACGAGCCCAAAGAUGGGCACAGAGGGUGCCUAAAAGGCAGGCUCUGCAGCCCUGGCUCCAGUGAACCCCGAACUCUCCCCGGGCCUGAAAUGCCCACUACCCACUUGAUCUUUGAAGCCCUGGACACUGAGAGACCCGGCUGAAACGUCAUGUCCAGCUGCCUCUGCCCCCGGCAGGGCGAGUCCCCAUCCCAGGGGGUACCAGCUCUCCAGUGGGCACCCCCUCUCCAACAGCAAUCGUCUGUGCCCACGUUGGUCCCCCAUACAGGGAGCUUUCAAAGUGGAGGCUUUCUUGCAUCACCAGCGCCUAACACUGUGUCAGGAAAUAAUGGUGAAGGAAGAAAAGAGGGAAGGAGGGGAAGAUGCAAGGACAAAGGAGUCCCUGAGCUCCAGCAGGAGCCCGGCUCUCGGGACCCUACUGGUUCUGUGGCUCUGUUUCUCUGGAGAACCCGAAUACAGAACAGCUGGGAUGUUAUGAUCAUAUGCGGACUGUCUUCAUGGUUCUUAGAAGCCGGAGCAUAAGGCACUCGGGGUGUCGGCUCCUGUUUGCAGGACAACAGCGAACAGGUCAGCUCCGCUCUGCAUCCACCCUGGCGAUGAAAUGCGACUGUUCAUCUCUGUCAGGUUAUCGUUCGAUGUUUAGGUGAACUGACAGCAACUCAAACAAUUUCCAAGCCACAGUCAAACUAAAAACUGAAAUAUCAAACUAAACAAAACUUCAGAGAAAUAUUAAACAACGACUAAGAACAUCUUAUCCAAUGUGAAUCCCUGUAAUCCUGUGAAGUGUCUUUAGAAAUAAUUUUUUGGCAAAUUGGGAAAUACCAGCAAGCAGACCACUUGCAGAACUAGUCUCAGCAAAUGGAUUUUCAGAGGUGGCUUUCGGAGCCGCCGGUUUCCUGAUGUGACCUCGAGCCGCCUUGGCUCCUGGGAGGCUUCUAGCUCGCUCUCCUUAUCCUCUCGGGGUCUAGAUGGGGCAGGGAAGCUUCAGGACUAGGGGCUGGGUAACCUGGGCCACACCCCCCACCACCACCAAGGUCAUCCAGGCCACCUGGAGCCAAUGUGAAGCUCUUUUCCUGUCCCCUGCAGUGUCCGGUGUAAAGAGAAAGUCACUAAAACACAGGCCGGCAGAUUUAAGAAGAUGGUGAAGCCCUGGUCCCCACCAGACCCCUCCCCAGGGCUCCUUCCUCCAAGGGUGGGCCCACCGGGACGCCCCCUGGAAAGCAGCUAUGCAGGUGGAGCCCUGGCGGUCCAUCCAGGUCCUUCUCUCAUCCGAGGCCUGAACUCGGCAGGGAUGAGCCUCAGGGGUCCCACCUCUCACCCCAGCCUGACCCCCACCUCCCUGGACUGCUGGUGGCUUUACCUCUCUCCUUCCCUCUAGCCUGGAACACUUCCUCCUGGACCGGCCUGGCAUUUAGGAACCUCUCAUUUAGAAACUAACUUCUAUGACCUGCGUCCCUAAGAGGAUGGGGACUUUCUUGGGGGCGGGGGGACCACCCGGGGAAACCACCCCCAUCCAGGAUGGGUGCCUGCUGCUGCCACCGUCCCCUCCUCUGAUUGUGCCCCACUUCUUGUCUCCCGUCUUAUCUCCUCCAGAUGCUCCAGCCCCUCUCCCCCCGGAACCCUCAGGGACAGGAGCCUCCUGCCUUUCUUCUCUGUCUCCCCACCCUCCAACCCAGGCCCAAGGAAAGGACUUCGACCAGACCCUGAGUCAGGGCUAGGAUGGACGGGGCAGCCCUCUGUGAGGGCACGGGAGGCUGAGUGACCCACUGAAAAUGUCCCCAAAUGGAACAACUUCAUCGAUACCAUAGCUGCACCUGGGUAGCGUGAUACCGCUCCCACUGCACUGGGACAGAGCUGUCACUCACCCGCCCACGUACCGGAAUGAGGGGGAUGGUAAAGGACCGGGCAGGUAUUUUGCAAUAACUCCUCAGGUAAGCGGGCUCUGCCUCUCCCCACCCUGCGCUGAGAACCUUUGCCUUGGCUCUGGCUAGGAUAAUUUUCGUUGCUGUUUUUUUUUUUGGUUUGUGUUUUGUUUUCUUUUUUUCUUUUAGCCGUGCUGCACGGCUUGAAGGAUCUUAGUUCCCCGACCAAGUAUCAAACCCACACCCUGGGCAAUGAAAGCGCAGAGUCCUAACCACUGGCCUGCCAGGGAAUUCCCCGGCUAAGAUAGUUUUUUAAAAACACACAGCAACAGCACAGAAACCCAAGUUCAAAUGGCACGUCAGCUUGACAUGGGGGGCAGUGCUGCAGGCAGACCCUCGUCUCCCAUCUCCAUGUUCUGGACUCCCCCCACUCCUCCAUGGGCGCUCCCCAGCCUGGGAGCCACUUCAGAGCCCCCCACCACAGAAAGGCCCUGAGAGGCUGCAGCCAAGGGGUCUGAGGGGGCCCCUUCCUCCCUGAGCCGUGUCCUCCUCAGAUCUGAUUGGGAAACGCCCCCCCAAGUGCAGCCCCCUGCCCUUUACCCAUCACAGCACCUCUCGUCCUUCCCGUUCCCACCUGUCCUGCCCUCCUUCAGGUGGGGCAGGGCCGGUCCUCCGGGGCCACCACCUUCACUGUAGAAGAUCCCAUGUCUCAAAGGCAGGACAAGCACACGCGUGCGUGCAUGCACUCACACAUGCACGCAUGCACACACGCAUCUUUUUCUUUCAGCUCGAGCCUGAAGAACAGUUGGCUACAUGCAAAGGAUGAUAAACUUCGUUUGUGGUGCAGGGGCAGUAGAGAUGGUGGGUGAUCGGGCUGCCCUCCCAGGAGCCCUGCUGGGCCCGCACCCUGAACACAGGGCUCCCACCGAGGCCACAAAGCAGGUGGUUGAUCACUGCCUUUGGACCCAGGAAGCUGUGGGUACGGGGCUGGCUCCCCACAAGCCUGGGGCAGGGAAAUUGCUCUUUCCUGCUCUGGAGCCUCGUAGCAGCUUUAACUGGUCGACAGUGAGGAAGAGCUCUGUACACGAUACAACACGGCCCCUGAUGAAGCAACUGAGGCUCAGAGAAGUCACAAAACAGGUUCAUGGAAGAGCCGGGAAUUUGCAUCUGGGUUUGCCUGACUGCAGAGCCCAACCUCUUCUGUCCCGCAUCACGCAUCACGGCACAGCUCAGCUUCUGAUAACCGACCUUCACAUGCCAGCCGCUGAGGACAGCUAGGCCCUGCCCCUGCAGCCUUUGGAGCCCUGGUGAGAGCUGGCAGCCAGGCUCGACCACUCCAUCAACACCUGACUGCAUGAACUGUGGCAAAGCACGGGCACAGCUCUGCUCGGGGACCUGGCUUUGCUGUGGCAGAAGGGCGGGGGCUGUGGAUUGAUGAUGUGCCGGAGCCAAGCUGGACCUCGAGAGCCUGCAGUGACCAGACACUCUCCCUUCCUCCAGGGAGACCGGGGCUGGAGAGAGAUUCCCUCUGCAGCUGCAAAUGCCCUCGGGUCCAUUCCCCAAGGACAGCCAUCCUGGGCAGCACCAAGACGACCUGCCUUGGAGCCAGGAGAUCCUACUGCGAGGCCCAUUUUUGUCCCUCUCUAAGCAGUAGUACAGACCUGGGUAACUGCUCACACUUGAUGGGUUACCGUGUCUGGAAAAUGAGGGUGUUGCACUGGAUGGUAGCUUUCAGAAUUUCAUUAGCGGUUGAGCCACGUUGCAAAUGAAAUCUUAUUCGUAUGACAGAUAAUCGUUAAUAUUCAUUGGGCUCUUACUGUUCCAGCUACCCUCCUGAACCUUCCAUGCAUUGACGCACAGUGCCAUGGGCCACGCUGCGCCCAGUUUACAGGUGAGAACCAUGAACCAGAGAGCCGCAAUUUGCCCAACACAGAUGAAGCGGUUAAAAGCAGACUUUCCUGCUUGGUGGUGGGGAAAGGAAGGAAAUCGAGUUGCUCCGCUUCACCUUCUCCUGCUUCCUUGGCGUCUCUGGAAGGACCUCUGCAGAGUCCAAGGGUCUCCGAGACCAAGUUCAAGUCCACUGGAUGAAUGACCUCAAAGGGAGCUGGAACUGUGAUUUUCCAAGCCACUUUUGCUCCUUCUGAUGGCUUGUCCAGGUGCCCAGCUCACGCCCCAAGCCUCCUGCUUCCUCCACACCUCACGGGCUCACCAUUAGGUACACGCAUUCACACCUGAAGGCUUGAGCCUCGUGCGUGUCCUCGCGCACACGCGCGCAUGCACACGCAUCUUCCUGUAUUAAACACAAAGGUUUUCAUCACCAUCGUAAACUUCAAAGGCUUGGAACUUGGAACCAACACCUUUCCAGCCUCUUAGUGAGUCCCAGACCCCUCGGGGAAGAGCAGCUUGUUCUCCUCAAUGUAAUUAGCACCACCACCACCCAGCCCCCCACCCCCUGGCGAUGGGGACUUAGAGGAACUGACGGGCCUCCUUAACCACUUACCAAGUGCGUCUUGAUAUCAAAAGAUUUGUAGCACGGAGUUCUAGCUUCUCCGCAAUAUCAGUCCCUGUAAUAGUUUCAGUUUGUCAGUUUUUUGCAAAACAUCAGAUACAAGUUUGAAAGGCGGGCGGGUCAUACACGUGAGCCCUGGCCCCUCCAGCCUGCUCUCCUCUGGCCUCUGCCCCAAGGUCAGCCCGGAACCCCUUCCCCUGCCCACGGACAGGGCAGGCAGUGAGUGAAUGCAGGACGAGCUACUUGGGAAAAAUAACUGAGCCCUCAGGAAUCACAAAACAUCAUCCUUUUCCCAGGAAAGCAGAUUUUGACUUGUUCAACUACUUUUAUUGUGAGAUUUAGCACCGAUGUGCUUUGGUUUUGGGUGAUGGUUUAAUCCUGAAUUAAUCAAAGUGGCUCUCAGCAGUUAAACACAGGCCACUUUAUGUCCCUGUGUCGCCUUGGGCAUGAAAGCACAAUGAGGCCCCCAGAGACUGAGGGUGCAUGCAGGUGGAAGGAUUAAAGGCAGGGGGGGCCCCGGGGUGUACCCUGGGGGCUGACUUGAAGACCAGACGCCUGGAGAAAGCAGCAGGACCUGCCAGGAGGACCCACCAACCCAGGAAGACCCAGGAAACGCUCAGAACCAUCUAGGCCCUUGGCUGCCUCCGCACUUGGUGGACUUCAUUCCGCAGGUGAGGCCUCGAAUCAUAAACGCAAACCACCCAGCAGCGUAUGAUUCCUGAGUAGGAGGCACAAGGCAGUGCCUGUGUCCUGGAAGAUGACGUAUCUGGUUAUUUGUCAGACUUCAGUUCAACGAUGCACAGCUCCGAUCCCAGAUCAAUGGUCUCCUCCCUGAACUGAAACUGCAGCCCAGCCCGGGACAGGCCUGGAGGAAUCUUGAUGAUUCACACAAGACCAAGACUGAGCAAACGUCAUUCUCAGAGCUGGCUCAGGCUCUGAGGCUGGAACGGCCUUCGGUGGGAGGUGAGAACGGGCCAGAACCCCUGGUUCCCACACAAGGAGCCCCCUCAUCCCCCCAGCUGAGAAGACCCUCUCCUGGCAACAAGUGUGACUAAGAAAGUAUUGCUUUUCUCGUGGUCAGUGUAAGUCGGAAAGUAGAGCAAAGCGUCACCAUCCCCUCCCGGCCUUGAAAAGUAAGAAGCAGUAGAGGAGCUGGUCAAGAAUACGUGCGCGGUACAGAGGCCACCGCUGUUCCCAGGUGGACGUCCAGUUGUUCCAGCACCAUUUGUUGAAGAGACCGUCUUUGCUCCAUUGUCAAAGCUCAGGUGACUCUUUUGAUAGGGGUCCCUCUCUAGGUUCCCUAUUCUGUUACACUGAUCUACUUGUCUGCUCUCCAGCCAGCACCACACUGUCUGGAUCACUGCCACUUGACAGUAAGUUUCGAAGUCGGGCAGCAUCCGGCCUCGUUCCUCUCCUUCAGUCCUUCGUUGGCUCCUCUGGGUCUCACCACUUUGGAUCUGCAUGGAUUCCCACAGGCAAAGGCACCUCUUCUCACUCCAUGGCUGGUCCUUCCCCGGGCUUCCUGGGAGUCGAGCUUGGAGCGUGUGUGCCUGAUGGGUAUCCCACUUCACCUUCUCGAGAACCUCCUCUUAAAAACACCCCUUUCUUCAGCUCUGUCCAUUCCCAUUCCCGAAACCAGAAGCUCAGACUUUCAGACAUGGCCUUGCUAAAAUGUGCAGGGGUUCCCAUGCAUUGGAGGAUAAACGUGAAUUCCUCUCGCCUCUGACAAAUCUCGCUUGUCUUCCUUUCUUCAUCUCCUGCUUUCUCCCCUUCACCCUGGGCUGCAGCUGCACCAGCCUCUUUUCUGUCCCUUGGCCACACUGAGCCUCUCCCACCUUUGGACCUGGAACCUGUUGGCCUCCGCCUGGAAGGCCCCUUCUCCCCCUCAGGUCACCCUUGUGUGCCACUUCUGCAGAGAAGACUUCCAAAACCAUCGCUGCAGAAGUAACCUCCCCACCUGCUGUCCAUCACCACCCUUUAUUUUCUUGAUAGCAUUUAUUGAAAGUAUCUCAUUAUCUUGCUUGUUUCUGUUAGUUUCCUCGCUAACUAGCUGUGUUGUGGUUGGAAUACAUAUGAGCCUCUGGAGGAUCUGGGGACAGCCUGCUUCUAUCUGAAAAAAAAAUAUUUUUCUUUUCUCCUCCUCUGAAAACCCUCUUGGGAACCCUAAGGUUUUCAGACUUUGGAAACCAAAGAAAAGGAAAGGGAGUUCUUUUCAGGCAAAGACAACGUCUGUUCUUCCUCCUGCCAAAACCCUCAGCUGCAGGCAGGAAAGAGCUCAGAGCCAGUGGUUUUACUGAGUGGAGGGUGUGAAGACUGGAGGGGUGGGAUUCCGGUAGGCAAACCCAGAACUCAUCUCUCUAGAGGCUGUCUACCAGCCUCUCUGGAGGUGUCCCCACUAGUCCCGGGGGCUCUGGGCGGUGGGGAGGAGAGCCCGGCCUUUCCCAGAGCUGCUGGCGUCAGUGCAGCUAGCCGGCCGGCCCAUUGCCUGGGCCUGGACUCCUGUUUCAAUAGGACCCGGACUUCAGGCAACCGCAGGGCGGGUAGCGUGCACGGUGAGGGACACCCCGGCUCCUCCUUCAGCGCCAGCAAGUCAAGCCGGGGCCAGA
Delphinapterus leucas (beluga whale) is the source of this 9081-nucleotide non-coding RNA. NCBI's taxonomy places the organism in Eukaryota, Metazoa, Chordata, Mammalia, Artiodactyla, Monodontidae. The record is from RefSeq and is a predicted model, not a curated record.